This 29-nucleotide transfer RNA is filed under the name Ophisaurus ventralis. RNAcentral's name for it is "partial tRNA-Met". Lineage: Eukaryota; Metazoa; Chordata; Lepidosauria; Squamata; Anguidae. The record is from RNAcentral.
AAAUGUUGGUUUAAACCCCUCCUUUACCA